RNAcentral lists this long non-coding RNA (1262 nucleotides) under Equus caballus (horse). RNAcentral's name for it is "lncRNA (ENSECAG00000060014.1)". Lineage: Eukaryota; Metazoa; Chordata; Mammalia; Perissodactyla; Equidae. The record is from RNAcentral.
CUAUUACUUGCCAUUUUUAUUUGUCACUAGCCUCACCAACAUUUUCUCCUGCUAAUCUAAAUUUAGAAGAGCAAAAGCUCACCACUCUUGCUUCCAUUGGACUCUGUAGGCAGAGAUCCGGGAGACUGAUGUGGUAAGAACCCUUACCUCUUGCCGGCUCUUGUCAGGGGUCCGGGAUCUCUCAGCUGCAGCAGUCCAGGAGCAAGCAGUGCCCAGCCAGUGAAAUUUUAUCCUGCUGACUAUGCCAAAACUGUAGGGGAGGAAGACAUUUCCUCUUCCCAAAUGUGGGUUCGUCUGGCUGGAGAACGAAUUAAAUUCACAUGAGACAGAAAAGCAAGAGAAAAUUAAACAAAGCUUUAUGAGGAACCAUGGCCCGGGCCCUUUCUUCCCGAAGGAAGAAAGGGCACCGAAGAAGUGGGGUGCACAUAGUGGUUAUAUACCCCCCAAACAAGGUGUUUCACAUAUGAUUGAAAUGUCCCUCCCACAAUAGAGGCAAGUCUAUUGUCUGGAGCUGGGCGGUCACAGGUGAGUGCAGUAAUGAGUUCCUAGCCUAAGGAAAGAUGCUUAAUCCUUAAAGAAAUGCCAACAUUGGGAGGGGGAGGGAAGUCAGUUACAGGAGGUUACCAGACUAGCACAAUAAAAUGCAGAUUUAAGUCCUUGCCUUUGGUAUUGAUUAAGAGUUUCUAGAGAGAAGGGCAUCUCCUUUCUUCUUCCUGGUACAGAGAGGGAGGCACAUAUUACAGAUGGAGAUUUACCUUACAAAUGUAAACGUGUCCUAACAAAGGGCAAGUUCCAUUCCUCAGAGCCUUCUUCCCUGUCCCAGUUUAUCAAAAGCAAUCAGCUUCAAAUAAUCCUGAUACCAAAGAGACAUAUCUUGGGGUGGCCAAUUUCAGGUCCCUACACAACCAAACUUUCAAUAAAACUAUUGUGGAAUUUUGAAGCCUUUGCUUUUAACUGCAUGCACUUUUAAAUGAUAGUAUCAAAUCAGGAUGUUCCUUCUACUGCCAGUUGUAAUUUCAAAUCAUCCUUAGUAAUCUUGGUUCACUGGGAUUAAAAUUUACAAGAGAAGGGACCAUAUGUUUUCCACAGAAAACCAGCUGGAGAUCCUGAGGGAGGAACUUCUCAAGGAACUUCAGGAAAUAAGAGUCCCAUGUUAAAGAAAAGGGGGCAAACAAAACAGUAAGAAUGACAACAGGGAAACCCAUCAAUUAUGUCAGAGUGCUCACCAAGCAGGGGGGAGAAAACUCUGCAAGGGAAGUCCU